This 403-nucleotide ribosomal RNA is filed under the name Verrucomicrobiota bacterium. RNAcentral's name for it is "Verrucomicrobia bacterium partial 16S ribosomal RNA". It matches the Rfam family "Bacterial small subunit ribosomal RNA", at positions 355 to 776 of the family's 1533-position model. Lineage: Bacteria; Pseudomonadati; Verrucomicrobiota. The record is from RNAcentral.
UGGGGAAUAUUGCACAAUGGGGGAAACCCUGAUGCAGCGACGCCGCGUGAGCGAAGAAGGUUUUCGAAUCGUAAAGCUCUGUCCUAUGAGAAGAUAAUGACGGUAUCAUAGGAGGAAGCCCCGGCUAAAUACGUGCCAGCAGCCGCGGUAAUACGUAUGGGGCGAGCGUUGUCCGGAAUUAUUGGGCGUAAAGGGUACGUAGGCGGUCUAUUAAGUCAGGUGUGAAAGCGUGAGGCUUAACCUCAUUAAGCACUUGAAACUGAUAGACUUGAGUGAAGGAGAGGAAAGUGGAAUUCCUAGUGUGGCGGUGAAAUGAGUAGAUAUUAGGAGGAAUACCGGUGGCGAAGGCGACUUUCUGGACUUUUACUGACGCUCAGGUACGAAAGCGUGGGGAGCAAACAGG